UGGCUACCAUGGUUACGGUCGGGCCUUGGUGAUCGUUGUUGGUGGGUGGUUAGUGUUUGGUGGGCUACUGCGAUCAACGAUUGGUUUUUUUUUCGGGUGGUGGUUGUCAACCCAGAUAAACAAUCGAGCAAAAUCGAGAGACAGGCCCGCGAGCACGGCGUCGUCUACUACGGGUUCUCGACGGACCGGGAAGAGCGAAACCGGCAGCAGCUGGAGCUGGGCGCGAUCCGCGAGAAGGAGAACCUGCGAGUCCGGCUCGGACUGCCCCCGGAGAAGAAGGAGUAGCAGAAGGGUGAUCCGGAAGUGGAACGAGACGAGCUGUACGACGCGGAGGAGGAACGGGAACGCGCCAAGGUGGAAGCAAAGACGAAAAGGAAGCGCAAAAAGAACGAACGAAGGCGAGGCCGGAGGAAAUUAGCAUGCCGUCAAUCCCAGGAAUGGAAGAUUUUUUCCUCCUGAUGAGCCCCCAACCCGGGUGCUUUGAACGAGGAAAUUACGAAACCACCGCGGAGACGGCGGAAAAACGACCCAAUCUAGAGCAGCAUCGAGUGCCGAUACGGAUUACGGAAUGAGCUUAGCGAGGAUGAAGAGCAAGAGGAAAAGAAGUUCAGCGUGGAAAGGGCGUUGAAAUUGCCCCACCACUAACUUUCGAUUAUUACGGGCCGACGACGGGAAAAGGGUAAAAAGCGCCGCGUAAGCCGCCAGUUUCGAAAUCUACCCUCGAGGCGUCCAUUGAAGUUUUUGCGGAAUCAAUCGACCGAAAAACAGGUCGACCUCGAAUACGGAUUACUAGUGAGAGAUAGCUCUGAGUGUAAAUGAGUUGGAAUGAAAUAUACAGAAUUGUAAAUUU
Long non-coding RNA from Culex pipiens pallens (northern house mosquito), 850 nucleotides. RefSeq lists it as uncharacterized. The record is from RefSeq and is a predicted model, not a curated record. NCBI's taxonomy places the organism in Eukaryota, Metazoa, Arthropoda, Insecta, Diptera, Culicidae. The transcript has 2 exons.